This 253-nucleotide ribosomal RNA is filed under the name uncultured bacterium. RNAcentral describes it as "partial 16S ribosomal RNA". It matches the Rfam family "Bacterial small subunit ribosomal RNA", at positions 524 to 776 of the family's 1533-position model. The record is from RNAcentral.
UACAGAGGUCUCAAGCGUUGUUCGGAUUCAUUGGGCGUAAAGGGUGCGUAGGUGGCGCCGUAAGUCGGGUGUGAAAUUUCGGAGCUUAACUCCGAAACUGCAUUCGAUACUGCGGUGCUUGAGGACUGGAGAGGAGACUGGAAUUCAUGGUGUAGCAGUGAAAUGCGUAGAGAUCAUGAGGAAGACCAGUGGCGAAGGCGGGUCUCUGGACAGUUCCUGACGCUGAGGCACGAAAGCCAGGGGAGCAAACGGG